Schistosoma rodhaini is the source of this 45-nucleotide non-coding RNA. The record is from Rfam. Lineage: Eukaryota; Metazoa; Platyhelminthes; Trematoda; Strigeidida; Schistosomatidae.
GUCCAGCUGUGGAGUCCCAAACAGAACGAAACGCGCGUCCUGUAU